CAAGUGGUCGACUGUAUACGAAAAAAAAACAAAACUUUACAACAUCGCACACAACUUCCACGUUCAACGCGGCGUCACAGUGUGAGUGAAUGGAGAUACAAACAAUAUGCGACGCACGCGUGCGCGCGCUCUGUCUCAGUGAAGGAGACGUGUAAUUUCUGGCAACACUAACGCGGCGUACGAAGCAGCACUCACACAACCAACGGCGCCUUCUGAUUGGAGAAGAAGUUGUCGAGCGCUUGCCUCCGCCCGCGCACCAACGUCCUUGCAGGCACGGGCCACCGACCGCAACUGCCUGCUCUAAACUAUACUUACUUGAAACUUAACAGAGCACGCCACCGGAAAGCAUCAUGGUGUCGAAAUUCCUAAGUGACAGUAAGAAGUGUAACGGAAUUCGAUGCGCGUGGGCAGCCUGCGCGGACGCCGACUGUCGCGACAAUAUGCACUUGAGAAUUGUGCGUACGAGUUCAUCUUGCCUUAUUUCGGAUUGAAAAUAGAGAUCAGAUAUAGCCUUUAGCGUAUUUUUGAGACAAUUUUAUUUAGAUCUGAUUUUUAAAGAUGAGGUUUGUGCUUAUCCUGUGGAAAAAGAUGUGGGUUUAAUGUAUUUUAAUGA
This is a long non-coding RNA of Spodoptera frugiperda (fall armyworm), 613 nucleotides long. RefSeq lists it as uncharacterized. Lineage: Eukaryota; Metazoa; Arthropoda; Insecta; Lepidoptera; Noctuidae. The transcript is spliced from 3 exons. The record is from RefSeq and is a predicted model, not a curated record.